RNAcentral lists this unclassified non-coding RNA (169 nucleotides) under human respiratory syncytial virus. RNAcentral describes it as "Human orthopneumovirus L-Overlap". Lineage: Riboviria; Orthornavirae; Negarnaviricota; Monjiviricetes; Mononegavirales; Pneumoviridae. The record is from RNAcentral.
UGGGACAAAAUGGAUCCCAUUAUUAAUGGAAAUUCUGCUAAUGUUUAUCUAACCGAUAGUUAUUUAAAAGGUGUUAUUUCUUUCUCAGAAUGUAAUGCUUUAGGAAGUUACAUAUUCAAUGGUCCUUAUCUCAAAAAUGAUUACACCAACUUAAUUAGUAGACAAAAUC